Molecule: long non-coding RNA, 272 nt
Organism: Rhinopithecus roxellana (golden snub-nosed monkey)
Lineage: Eukaryota; Metazoa; Chordata; Mammalia; Primates; Cercopithecidae
Exons: 3
Source: RefSeq, a predicted model, not a curated record
AUUACUUCUCUCAAGAAAGACUUCCAGGAAGUAAUUUUUCGUUUGCCAGAUUGGUUUUACUUACUAGGUGGGGGUUGCCAUUGACUACACCGAGGUCAGCUAGAAGAUUGAUGAUUUAUUCUGCUAUCAAUGCAGUCAGCUCAGUCAACAAAAUGAAAUGGAAACAUAUGGAACUAGGAGUCUAAGUACCAAGUGAUUCCAGCUCUACUUAACUGCAAUCUUUGGGACAAGAAGUGACUGAGUUGGGAUAAACAUACAGUGUAAGACAGAAG